Marmota monax (woodchuck) is the source of this 107-nucleotide small nuclear RNA. NCBI's taxonomy places the organism in Eukaryota, Metazoa, Chordata, Mammalia, Rodentia, Sciuridae. The record is from RefSeq and is a predicted model, not a curated record.
GUAUUCACUUCAGCAGCACAUAUACUAAAAUUGGAAUGUUACAGAGAAGAUUAGCAUCGCCCCUGCACAAGGAUGACAUGCAAAUUCAUGAAGCGUUCCAUAUUUAA